Molecule: ribosomal RNA, 462 nt
Filed under: uncultured bacterium
Lineage: Bacteria
Description: partial 16S ribosomal RNA
Rfam family: Bacterial small subunit ribosomal RNA
Source: RNAcentral
AUGAACGCUGACAGAAUGCUUAACACCUGCAAGUCGAUGGGGAAGUGGUGCUUGCACCAUGGUAACCAUGGCGGACGGGUGAGUAACGCGUAAGGAACUUGCCUGCGGGACUGGGAUAACAGCAGGAAACUGCUGAUAAUACCGGAUAAGGUCAUUAAGCUGCAUAGCUUAGUGAUGAAAGGAGACGCCUGCGGAGAGCCUUGCGUCCUAUUAGCUAGUUGGAGGGGUAACGGCCCACCAAGGCGAAGAUAGGUAGCCGGCCUGAGAGGGUGGACGGCCACAAGGGGACUGAGAUACGGCCCUUACUCCUACGGGAGGCAGCAGUGGGGAAUAUUGGACAAUGGGGGCAACCCUGAUCCAGCAAUUCUGUGUGCACGAAGACGGUUUUCGGAUUGUAAAGUGCUUUCAGCAGGGAAGAAGGAAGUGACGGUACCUGCAGAAGAAGCGACGGCUAAAUACGUG